Long non-coding RNA from Pteronotus mesoamericanus, 430 nucleotides. RefSeq lists it as uncharacterized. The record is from RefSeq and is a predicted model, not a curated record. Lineage: Eukaryota; Metazoa; Chordata; Mammalia; Chiroptera; Mormoopidae. The transcript is spliced from 2 exons.
UGGGUGUCGGGUGCGGUGCGCGCUGCUUUAUAGCGCGCUGACGGACGGAGUCAGUUGGAGAGGCCGGGGGCAGGGGUGGGGGGCCCGGUCGGCCACCUUGCCUUAUUUGGUCGCCUUCGUACCACUGAGGAGCGCCGAGGCCAUUCAUGGAGCCAAGGGCAGGGGAGAGGAUCAGCCAGGGGGGCCCCCAGACCAUGUGACCUUCUGUAAACCGGGGGAAAAGCCUAUAAGACCGAGAGAGCAAAUCCUUGCCAAGAAGAUAACCGCAACUUCAACCAUAUAAACAUACGUCGUAUGGACGAGCCGUGUCGUCAUAACCAGCAAUGAGUUAGAAAGGCAGAGAGUCCCUGGGCCUGCCCUAGCUAAAGGGGAAUCUGCAUUGUAGCCAGAUGCCCGGUUGAUUUACAGGUACAUUAAAGUGUGAGAAGCA